RNAcentral lists this ribosomal RNA (1438 nucleotides) under Hysterium pulicare. RNAcentral describes it as "eukaryotic LSU rRNA". It matches the Rfam family "Eukaryotic large subunit ribosomal RNA", at positions 39 to 1443 of the family's 3401-position model. Lineage: Eukaryota; Fungi; Ascomycota; Dothideomycetes; Hysteriales; Hysteriaceae. The record is from RNAcentral.
CAUAUCAAUAAGCGGAGGAAAAGAAACCAACAGGGAUUGCCUCAGUAACGGCGAGUGAAGCGGCAACAGCUCAAAUUUGAAAUCUGGCCUUCUACGGGGUCCGAGUUGUAAUUUGUAGAGGAUGCUUCGGUGUUGGCCCCGGCCUAAGUUCCUUGGAACAGGACGUCGCAGAGGGUGAGAAUCCCGUACGCGGCCGGUGUCCCUCGCCAUGUGAAGCUCCUUCGACGAGUCGAGUUGUUUGGGAAUGCAGCUCUAAAUGGGAGGUAAAUUUCUUCUAAAGCUAAAUACCGGCCAGAGACCGAUAGCGCACAAGUAGAGUGAUCGAAAGAUGAAAAGCACUUUGGAAAGAGAGUCAAAAAGUACGUGAAAUUGUUGAAAGGGAAGCGCUUGCAACCAGACCUGCCCGCGGUCGCUCAUCCAGGCUCCUGCCUGGUGCACUCUUCCGCGGUCAGGCCAGCAUCGGUUCGGGCGGUCGGACAAAGACGGUGGGAAUGUGGCUCCUCUCGGGGAGUGUUAUAGCCCGCCGUGCAAUGCGGCCAGUCCGGACCGAGGUCCGCGCUUCGGCUAGGAUGCUGGCGUAAUGGUUGUAAGCGGCCCGUCUUGAAACACGGACCAAGGAGUCUAACAUCUGUGCGAGUGUUUGGGUGUCAAGCCCGGACGCGUAAUGAAAGUGAACGGAGGCGGGAACCCUAGGGUGCACCGUCGACCGAUCCUGAUGUCUUCGGAUGGAUUUGAGUAAGAGCAUAGCUGUUGGGACCCGAAAGAUGGUGAACUAUGCCUGAAUAGGGUGAAGCCAGAGGAAACUCUGGUGGAGGCUCGCAGCGGUUCUGACGUGCAAAUCGAUCGUCAAAUUUGGGCAUAGGGGCGAAAGUAGGUUUAAAUAUUCACUGUGCUAUUAGAAUUCAAUGCUAACAAUUCUUCUAGGACUAAUCGAACUAUCUAGUAGCUGGUUCCUGCCGAAGUUUCCCUCAGGAUAGCAGUAACGUUUUCAGUUUUAUGAGGUAAAGCGAAUGAUUAGAGGCCUGGGGGUUGAAACAACCUUCACCUAUUCUCAAACUUUAAAUAUGUAAGAAGUCCUUGUUACUUAGUUGAACGUGGACAUUUGAAUGCACCGUUACUAGUGGGCCAUUUUUGGUAAGCAGAACUGGCGAUGCGGGAUGAACCGAACGCGGGGUUAAGGUGCCGGAAUGCACGCUCAUCAGACACCACAAAAGGUGUUAGUUCAUCUAGACAGCAGGACGGUGGCCAUGGAAGUCGGAAUCCGCUAAGGAGUGUGUAACAACUCACCUGCCGAAUGAACUAGCCCUGAAAAUGGAUGGCGCUCAAGCGUGCUACCCAUACCCCGCCGCCGGGGCAAGAGUUACGCCCCGGCGAGUAGGCAGGCGUGGAGGCCCGUGACGAAGCCUUGGGGGUGACCCCGGGUAGAACGGCCUCUAGU